RNAcentral lists this long non-coding RNA (551 nucleotides) under Homo sapiens (human). RNAcentral's name for it is "HSALNT0047264". The record is from RNAcentral. Lineage: Eukaryota; Metazoa; Chordata; Mammalia; Primates; Hominidae.
GGGGUGGGAUCUGAACAUGGCGGCGGUGGUAGCUGCUACGGCGCUGAAGGGCCGGGGGGCGAGAAAUGCCCGCGUCCUCCGGGGACCCGGGCCCUGCAAAGCCACAGCUCCCCAGAGGGCAAGGAGGAACCUGAACCCCUAUCCCCGGAGCUGGAAUACAUUCCCAGAAAGAGGGGCAAGAACCCCAUGAAAGCUGUGGGACUGGCCUGGGCCAUCGGCUUCCCUUGUGGUAUCCUCCUCUUCAUCCUCACCAAGCGGGAAGUGGACAAGGACCGUGUGAAGCAGAUGAAGGCUCGGCAGAACAUGCGGUUGUCCAACACGGGCGAGUAUGAGAGCCAGAGGUUCAGGGCUUCCUCCCAGAGUGCCCCGUCCCCUGAUGUUGGGUCUGGGGUGCAGACCUGAGGAGCGCUGCGACCCUCCUAGGCUAUUGACUGUUAAGUCCUCAGGUUUGGCCCAGAUUCCAGUUCGUGCCUCUGAGGUCCACCAGAGGGCGCAUGAAGCCCAGGCUGUUGCCAAACCCUACCCUGCCCCACACCAAGGAGCCAGCCAAA